This 468-nucleotide ribosomal RNA is filed under the name uncultured bacterium. Its description in RNAcentral is "partial 16S ribosomal RNA". It matches the Rfam family "Bacterial small subunit ribosomal RNA", at positions 28 to 507 of the family's 1533-position model. The record is from RNAcentral.
GACGAACGCUGGCGGCGUGCUUAACACAUGCAAGUCGAACGGAAAGGCCCUGCUUUUGUGGGGUGCUCGAGUGGCGAACGGGUGAGUAACACGUGAGUAACCUGCCCUUGACUUUGGGAUAACUUCAGGAAACUGGGGCUAAUACCGGAUAGGAGCUCCUGCUGCAUGGUGGGGGUUGGAAAGUUUCGGCGGUUGGGGAUGGACUCGCGGCCUAUCAGCUUGUUGGUGGGGUAGUGGCUUACCAAGGCUUUGACGGGUAGCCGGCCUGAGAGGGUGACCGGCCACAUUGGGACUGAGAUACGGCCCAGACUGCUACGGGAGGCAGCAGUGGGGAAUAUUGCACAAUGGGCGGAAGCCUGAUGCAGCAACGCCGCGUGCGGGAUGACGGCCUUCGGGUUGUAAACCGCUUUCGCCAGUGACGAAGCGUGAGUGACGGUAAUGGGUAAAGAAGCACCGGCUAACUACGUG